UCAGAGACUGCCUGCUCAGCAAGCUGUGCAGGCUGUAUUAUUUAGUGGUUCCUGGAGGAGAGAGUGGUCAGGCUACUCUCGAGCUUGGAAGUCAAGUUGGAAGUUGAACUCUUCUUUCAUCCCUGCAGAUGGCUCCUGCUAAUGCAAACAGAGGCACGCUGGCUGAGCACCAAGCAGGAAGCCUGCACCGCCAGUGCACGUGCUGUGGAUAGGGGCCAGCGCAGUUGAGCCAGCUUCUUUCAUCAGUGCUGAAAUCAGUGUUUGAGUUGGAUGUGAUUUCACAGUUUCCGUGAUUUCCUCUCUUGUUCAAGCUUCAAUCAUGACUUCUGCAGAAACUUUGGUGCUGUGAAUUUCACUAACCCUGCUGAGAAGCAAGGAGAAGGAAACGAGGUUCAAGACAUCCAAGUCAAGACUUGUGGAACUGGUGUCUUGUUUUGCUCAGUCCGUUUGACAGCGGAGCUGUCUGAGACCUUUCUGAUCAGGUGUUUUUGAGGCUGCAUCGACUUUACUGCUAGGAGAUCUCGGUGUUUGCCCUGUGAUUGUCUUACCAUAGGUAAGUGCAUAGGAACAUAGCUUUGGCAGAAUUUUUAUCAGGUAGUACUUUUCCUAGAUUCAAUGUCAAAUGAAAUAGCUACACCAAGACUUAACC
Gallus gallus (chicken) is the source of this 649-nucleotide long non-coding RNA. NCBI's taxonomy places the organism in Eukaryota, Metazoa, Chordata, Aves, Galliformes, Phasianidae. The record is from Ensembl.